UACGGAGGGUGCAAGCGUUAUCCGGAUUCACUGGGCUUAAAGGGUGCGUAGGUGGGUUGGUAAGUCAGUGGUGAAAUCCCCGAGCUUAACUUGGGAACUGCCAUUGAUACUAUCAGUCUUGAAUAUUGUGGAGGUUAGCGGAAUAUGUCAUGUAGCGGUGAAAUGCUUAGAUAUGACAUAGAACACCAAUUGCGAAGGCAGCUGGCUACGCAUAUAUUGACACUGAGGCACGAAAGCGUGGGGAUCAAACAGG
This 253-nucleotide ribosomal RNA is filed under the name uncultured bacterium. Its description in RNAcentral is "partial 16S ribosomal RNA". It matches the Rfam family "Bacterial small subunit ribosomal RNA", at positions 524 to 776 of the family's 1533-position model. The record is from RNAcentral.